UCGGGAAUAUUGCGCAAUGGAGGAAACUCUGACGCAGUGACGCCGCGUAUAGGAAGAAGGUUUUCGGAUUGUAAACUAUUGUCGUUAGGGAAGAAAAAGACAGUACCUAAGGAGGAAGCUCCGGCUAACUACGUGCCAGCAGCCGCGGUAAUACGUAGGGAGCGAGCGUUAUCCGGAUUUAUUGGGUGUAAAGGGUGCGUAGACGGGUAUGCAAGUUGGUUGUGAAAUCCCUCGGCUUAACUGAGGAACUGCAACCAAAACUGUAUAUCUUGAGUACAGGAGAGGUAAGUGGAAUUCCUAGUGUAGCGGUGAAAUGCGUAGAUAUUAGGAGGAACACCAGUGGCGAAGGCGACUUACUGGACUGAAACUGACGUUGAGGCACGAAAGUGUGGGGAGCAAACAGGAUUAGAUACC
RNAcentral lists this ribosomal RNA (414 nucleotides) under uncultured bacterium. Its description in RNAcentral is "bacterial SSU rRNA". It matches the Rfam family "Bacterial small subunit ribosomal RNA", at positions 355 to 786 of the family's 1533-position model. The record is from RNAcentral.